This 1956-nucleotide long non-coding RNA is filed under the name Nicotiana tabacum (common tobacco). Its description in RNAcentral is "long non-coding RNA (NTAB_LNC004802)". The record is from RNAcentral. Lineage: Eukaryota; Viridiplantae; Streptophyta; Magnoliopsida; Solanales; Solanaceae.
GAGAUCAGAUCUACAAAAAAGAAAAAGGAGCUUCCUCUUCAAUCCAAAAGGGACCGGAGCUCCCAAGAGAGAACGACUGACCUACCCCAUCAAAAAAUUUCAUUCUCUCUUUGAUUUAAAGAAAACGAUCGAACUCCACCUCCCAGACAAAAGGCAACGGCCAAAUCUCUCUUCCUUUCACCUAAAGAUUUCUUUCGCAGGUAGAGGUAGAAGUGAAGAAACGAAAUAGUGAUGGAAAUUUGGCAUUUUCCAUAAGUCACUUUGAAAUUCAGUCCAAGUUGUCAACUCAAGCGCAGUCUUAGACUCAAAAAUCGGUCCAGAUUGUUGAUUUCCAUUUCGAAAUUUCAAGCUCCUGCUUAACCUGAAAGCAUUCGUUGUUGUUGGGUUCGUUGAGGUUUCCGGCGAGGUGGACGUCGCCCAUUCCAGCUCAUUUCAGGCUUUUAUUUGGUACUUCGAACUGUUUCCUUGAUUUCAAUAGUUUUUGUUCGAGGUCAGAGAUUUCCGGCGAGGUUUCCGGGUGGAUUUGGGUUCCGUCGAGUUAUCGCUGUCCAAAUUUGCUGGUGUCUAUCGUUUUCAGAACCAAAUUUCUUUGUAUCGAGGUCAAUUUCUUUCUUUAAUCUUAAAUUUCCUUUCUAUUUCCUAGUCAUUAAGUUUUGAUGAUUAUCAAUAUCGUGUAGUUGUUACGCUUGUUUUGUUGCUUGUUUGAAGCUCUCUUAAUUUGGUUCCUCUAUGUCAAAGUUUUCAUCGAUGCAGUCUUUUGGAACAAACAUGAAUUAGCCAAUUAUUUUAUUUUUAUUAGAAGUGUGAAUGCAUAUGAUCCGUUUAGUUAAUUGUUCUUUUGGAUUAAAACUUGUCGAAAUGAUGUUGCAUAUAUGGUUUUGCACGAUUCUUUGUGGUAUCCUUUGAUAUUCCAUUGAAAUUUGCUUGAGUCUUGUUUCCAGAUUCGUAGAUGCAAUUAAAGUGACAAUGAGAUUUUUUCUUAUGAGUUUUGAAGUAGGCUAGUUAUAUAUUUACCUUAACCGAAUGGCCUUAAGCUUGAAUUAUAUAACAUGUUUGAUUUAAUCAGUUGGGUUGCUUUAUAUUCCUUGCUUAUUAUCGUAGUUUGCUUUAGGUGCGUUAUUUUAUAUUUAUUUUCUUUUGUUUUAUUAAACUCGGGUGCGCAUUUAUGUGACCCAAAUCCAAAUCUCAACAACGUUAGAUAAAAUGUGUUGUGGACUGCGGGUGCAUUUAUGUGACAUAGUUCAAGACGUGUUUCAUGUAAUGUUGAAUCUUCCUUAAAAUAAGUAAAAGCGGUUAAAUAAGUUAAAAUAUACCAUAGGCUAAAACAUGUAUUAAAAUCAGAUAAAGCUGGAUAUAACAGUUGAGCGACCGUGCUAGAACCACGAAACUCGGGAAUGGCUAACACUUUCUCCUGGAUUAACAGAAUUCCUUACCCGGAUUUCUAGUUCGCAGACUAUAAUAUAGAGUCAAUCUUUUCCUCGAUUCGGGAUUCUAAACCGGUGACUUGGGACACCAUAAAUUACCCCAAGUGGCGACUCUGAAUUUUAAUAAAAUAAUCUCGUUUCGAUUAUCACUUCAAAUGGAAAAACUCCCUUAUACACCCUUUUCCGAGGGUGUAGGUAAAAAGGAGGUGUGACACACAUGAUCGGGAGAUUAAGGCUAUCAUGGAUUACCAGGCCAGGCAAAAACAAAGGCAGAAAGCAACUUCUAUGUUCCUCGUCCAUUGGAAGUUGUUCGGGUUUUGCUGUGGAGACUCAAGGUAUACCUGUUAUUGCGUUCGCAGGCCUUGGAGUCACAUUUUGAUAUUAUAAUUAUAUUGUCUAUUUCUAUUUUGGAACAGUUGUACUUAGAAUAUUUCUCCUAGUAAGUUCAAUAGAGCUUAUGACUUGUACUACUACUUUUGGGUAUUGUAUUGCACUCGGGAGUAUUGGUUCACUAUGGAAAAAUCCAAUUCAU